UACGGAGGGUGCAAGCGUUGUUCGGCCUCACUGGGUGUAACGGGUGCGCAGGCUGGCGCCUAAGUCGGAGGUGAAAUCUUGCCGCUUAACGGUAAAAUUGCCCCCGAUACUGGGUGGCUUGAAUCUGACAGAGGUCGGUGGAAUUCGUGGUGUAGCGGUGAAAUGCAUAGAUAUCACGAAGAACAUCAGUGGCGAAGGCGGCCGGCUGGGUCAGUAUUGACGCUGAGGCACGAGAGCGUGGGGAGCGAACAGG
Molecule: unclassified non-coding RNA, 253 nt
Filed under: uncultured Bacteroidota bacterium
Lineage: Bacteria; Pseudomonadati; Bacteroidota
Description: uncultured Bacteroidetes bacterium contains 16S-23S intergenic spacer region
Rfam family: Bacterial small subunit ribosomal RNA
Source: RNAcentral